AACGAACGCUGGCGGCAUGCCUAACACAUGCAAGUCGAACGAGACCUUCGGGUCUAGUGGCGCACGGGUGCGUAACGCGUGGGAACCUGCCCUUAGGUUCGGAAUAACUCCCCGAAAGGGGUGCUAAUACCGGAUAAUGUCUUCGGACCAAAGAUUUAUCGCCUUUGGAUGGGCCCGCGUUGGAUUCGCUAGUUGGUAGGGUAAAAGCCUACCAAGGCGACGAUCCAUAGCUGGUCUGAGAGGAUGAUCAGCCACGCUGGGACUGAGACACGGCCCAGACUCCUACGGGAGGCAGCAGUGGGGAAUAUUGGACAAUGGGCGAUAGCCUGAUCCAGCAAUGCCGCGUGAGUGAUGAAGGGCUUAGGGUUGUAAAGCUCUUUUACCCGGGAUGAUAAUGACAGUACCGGGAGAAUAAGCUCCGGCUAACUCCGUG
This 433-nucleotide ribosomal RNA is filed under the name uncultured bacterium. RNAcentral describes it as "partial 16S ribosomal RNA". It matches the Rfam family "Bacterial small subunit ribosomal RNA", at positions 29 to 507 of the family's 1533-position model. The record is from RNAcentral.